Molecule: ribosomal RNA, 440 nt
Filed under: uncultured bacterium
Lineage: Bacteria
Description: partial 16S ribosomal RNA
Rfam family: Bacterial small subunit ribosomal RNA
Source: RNAcentral
CCUACGGGAGGCUGCAGUGGGGGAUAUUGCACAAUGGGGGAAACCCUGAUGCAGCGACGCCGCGUGUGGGAAGACGGUCUUCUGGAUUGUACACCACUGUCGCCAGGGACGAACAUGACGGUACCUGGGGAGGAAGCUCCGGCUAACUACGUGCCAGCAGCCGCGGUAAUACGUAGGGAGCAAGCGUUGUCCGGAAUUACUGGGUGUAAAGGGAGCGUAGGCGGGGAUGAAAGUUGGGUGUAAAAACUACCGGCUCAACCGAUAGUCGCACCCAAAACUGCAACUCUUGAGUGAAGUAGAGGUAGGCGGAAUUCCUAGGGUAGCGGUGAAAUGCGUAGAUAUUAGGAGGAACACCAGUGGCGAAGGCGGCCUGCUGGGCUUUUACUGACGCUGAGGCUCGAAAGUGUGGGGAGCAAACAGGAUUAGAUACCCUAGUAGUC